UAGAGAGAGACUUAAAAAAAUACUUUUACAUAGAAAUACACUUACAUAUAAAUAAAAUUUCUAUAUUUAGGAAACCGGAGCUGCCCAGGCCCAGCUGCCCCUUUUCCCCCCAUCCCCUAAAUAUCCAAAACUGCCCUUCUUGCCCUCGCUCCUCCCGGGAACAUCGCCAGGAUCAUCGGCUGCAUUUAAAGUCCAGCGCCGGGCAGAUCCCUCCUGGUGAGAGCAGGAAUUCCAUGGGCGAAGGAGCCCAUUGUUCCCGGAGAAUGGCACCGGGAAUGGGGAACAACGCUCCGCUCCCAUCCCCUGUCCCCGCGGAUUUAAGAGCGCAGGGAUCCGUCAGAGCAUCCCAAACCGCGGGACCGCGGCCCGGCGGCUUUAAGAGCCCUGGAAUGCGAUGGGAAGCGGGAGCUGCUGCCAGCUGGCACGGCCCGGAGCGCCGGAUCAAUGCCGGGAUUGUUCGGGACCACGGGAACGAGAAAGGAGAGGAACUGAGAGGGAAAACCAGCUGGAGCCUAUUCGUUGGAUGCUCCAAUCCCAAUCCUGGAAAACUGCGCUCUGCCCUUUGGAGCCAGAUCAAUCCUUUCCCCGAGCCCGGAAUUCCUGCCUCCAGCAGCAUUCCAAGCCUGGGAUCCAGCACUCCAAACACAACACAUGCAACCACUUAGGAGCCAAUUAAUCCCAGCGGAAGCGCCCUUGUCGUUACAUUUCCGGAAUAAUGCCGGAAAAUUCCCGUUGCGUGUCAUCGGGAACCAUUUAGGGACGUUUGGAUCCCAGGUUUUGCUGUCAGAGCUUUAAGGAAUGAGCAGAUGACGGAUUCCUGGAAUGAGGCUCUGCUUGGAAGACGAGGCCCCGUUGUUUUCCUGCUGUUCCACCCGGAUAAUUUGGGAUGUUCCAAAAUAAUUAGGGCGGGUGAUUAAUCCCUUACAAGCUCUCCGACAUGGAAGAGAUCCCAGACCGUCUUAUGGAUGCGGGGCAACACUUUUAGAUCCCAAGAAAUUAUCAUUAUAUUCCAAAAAAUCCAUUCUGCCCCUCAGUGUGUCCCCAAAAUGACAUCGUGGCGCCCUAAAAAAUCAUUUCAUCCCCAAAGGAACUUUAUGCUCUGAAAGUCCUAAAAUGCAUCAUUACGCUAAAAAAAUUAUUAGACCCUCAAAAAAAAUCAUUGCUACACUCCAAAAUAUUGGCAUUGCACCCUAAAAAGUAUCGUUGUACCCUAAAGAACAUAAUUAUACCCUAAACCCCAUAAUUUCACCCUAAAAAAUCAUCAUCACAACCUAAAGUCAUACUUAUACCCCAAAAAAAUCACUGCACCCUAAAGAACAUCAUAGUACCCUAAAUCCCAUCAUUACACCCUAAAAAGCAUUAUUAUACCCCCAAAAACCACCAUUACAUCCCAAAAAAUAUCAUUAUAUCCCUAAAAAAAUCAUUAUGUCACAAAAAAAUCAUUAUAUCCCCAAACAAUCAUUAUAUCCCAAAAAGCACCAUUAUACUCUCAAAAGCAUAAUUAUAUCUUAACAUCCCAGCUUCAUACAAUUAAAAAUCACCAUUAAAUCCCAAAAACCACUAUUGUACCCCAAACACUGAAAUCUGGGGUGGAAAGAAAAAAAAAAUUGGAAAGAAUUUUAAAAAAUUGGAAAGAAAUAAAAAAAAUUGGAAAGAAAUAAAAAAAAUUGGA
RNAcentral lists this long non-coding RNA (1672 nucleotides) under Zonotrichia albicollis (white-throated sparrow). RNAcentral describes it as "lncRNA (ENSZALG00000009378.1)". Lineage: Eukaryota; Metazoa; Chordata; Aves; Passeriformes; Passerellidae. The record is from RNAcentral.